RNAcentral lists this ribosomal RNA (990 nucleotides) under Treponema maltophilum. Its description in RNAcentral is "bacterial SSU rRNA". It matches the Rfam family "Bacterial small subunit ribosomal RNA", at positions 28 to 1005 of the family's 1533-position model. The record is from RNAcentral. Lineage: Bacteria; Pseudomonadati; Spirochaetota; Spirochaetia; Treponematales; Treponemataceae.
AACGAACGCUGGCGGCGCGUCUUAAACAUGCAAGUCGAACGGCAGGAAGGGGCUUGCCCCUUCUGAGAGUGGCGGACUGGUGAGUAACACGUGGGUGACAUACCUUUUAGUUGGGGAUAGCUAUUAGAAAUAGUAGGUAAUACCGAAUGUGACCGUAUUUAUUAGAAGGAUACGAGGAAAGGAGCUAAGGCUUCGCUAAAAGAAUGGCUCGCGGCCCAUUAUGCUAGUUGGUGAGGUAAUGGCCCACCAAGGCGAUGAUGGGUAUCCGGCCUGAGAGGGUGAACGGACACAUUGGGACUGAGAUACGGCCCAGACUUCUACGGGAGGCAGCAGUUAAGAAUAUUCCGCAAUGGACGAAAGUCUGACGGAGCGACGCCGCGUGGAUGAAGAAUGCCGAAAGGUUGUAAAAUCCUUUUAAGCCUGAUGAAUAAGUACAAUAGGGAAUGAUUGUGCGGUGACCGUAGGGCUCGAAUAAGCACCGGCUAAUUACGUGCCAGCAGCCGCGGUAACACGUAAGGUGCGAGCGUUGUUCGGAAUUAUUGGGCGUAAAGGGCAUGUAGGCGGAUAGGCAAGCUCGGUGUGAAAUGUUACAGCUUAACUGUGAGACAGCAUUGAGAACUGCAGAUCUUGAAUUACUGAAGGGUAACCAGAAUUCCACGUGUAGGGGUGAAAUCUGUAGAUAUGUGGAAGAAUACCAAUGGCGAAGGCAGGUUACCGGCAGAUAAUUGACGCUGAGGUGCGAAAGUGCGGGGAGCGAACAGGAUUAGAUACCCUGGUAGUCCGCACCGUAAACGAUGUACACUAGGUGUCUGGCAUAACAGCUGGGUGCCAAAGCAAACGUGAUAAGUGUACCGCCUGGGGAGUAUGCCCGCAAGGGUGAAACUCAAAGGAAUUGACGGGGGCCCGCACAAGCGGUGGAGCAUGUGGUUUAAUUCGAUGGUACGCGAGGAACGUUACCUGGGGUUUGACAUAGUAUCUACUGCCGUAGAG